RNAcentral lists this ribosomal RNA (525 nucleotides) under Gallibacterium anatis. Its description in RNAcentral is "bacterial SSU rRNA". It matches the Rfam family "Bacterial small subunit ribosomal RNA", at positions 9 to 526 of the family's 1533-position model. The record is from RNAcentral. Lineage: Bacteria; Pseudomonadati; Pseudomonadota; Gammaproteobacteria; Pasteurellales; Pasteurellaceae.
GAGUUUGAUCCUGGCUCAGAUUGAACGCUGGCGGCAGGCUUAACACAUGCAAGUCGAACGGUAACGGGUUGAAAGCUUGCUUUCAAUGCUGACGAGUGGCGGACGGGUGAGUAAGGCUUGGGGAUCUGGCUUUUGGAGGGGGAUAACCAUUGGAAACGAUGGCUAAUACCGCAUAGKAUCGAGAGAUGAAAGGGGUGGGAAACCACUUGCCAAGGGAUGAACCCAAGUGAGAUUAGGUAGUUGGUGGGGUAARGGCCUACCAAGCCGACGAUCUCUAGCUGGUCUGAGAGGAUGGCCAGCCACACUGGGACUGAGACACGGCCCAGACUCCUACGGGAGGCAGCAGUGGGGAAUAUUGCGCAAUGGGGGGAACCCUGACGCAGCCAUGCCGCGUGAAUGAAGAAGGCCUUCGGGUUGUAAAGUUCUUUCGGUGGUGAGGAAGGUURGGRUGUUAAUAGCAYAYUGAUUUGACGUUAGCCACAGAAGAAGCACCGGCUAACUCCGUGCCAGCAGCCGCGGUAAUAC